CCUACGGGAGGCUGCAGUGAGGAAUAUUGGUCAAUGGCCGGAAGGCUGAACCAGCCAAGUCGCGUGAGGGAAUAAGGCCCUAUGGGUCGUAAACCUCUUUUGUCAGGGAGCAAAGGCGUCCACGUGUGGACGAGAGGAGAGUACCUGAAGAAAAAGCAUCGGCUAACUCCGUGCCAGCAGCCGCGGUAAUACGGAGGAUGCGAGCGUUAUCCGGAUUUAUUGGGUUUAAAGGGUGCGUAGGCGGAGUGUCAAGUCAGCGGUAAAAUUUCGGGGCUCAACCCCGGCCCGCCGUUGAAACUGGCAGUCUCGAGUUGGAGAGAAGUAUGCGGAAUGCGCGGUGUAGCGGUGAAAUGCAUAGAUAUCGCGCAGAACUCCGAUUGCGAAGGCAGCAUGCCGGCUCCACACUGACGCUGAGGCACGAAAGCGUGGGUAUCGAACAGGAUUAGAUACCCGAGUAGUC
This 460-nucleotide ribosomal RNA is filed under the name uncultured bacterium. Its description in RNAcentral is "partial 16S ribosomal RNA". It matches the Rfam family "Bacterial small subunit ribosomal RNA", at positions 338 to 795 of the family's 1533-position model. The record is from RNAcentral.